This 253-nucleotide unclassified non-coding RNA is filed under the name uncultured Oligoflexaceae bacterium. RNAcentral's name for it is "contains 16S-23S intergenic spacer region". It matches the Rfam family "Bacterial small subunit ribosomal RNA", at positions 524 to 776 of the family's 1533-position model. The record is from RNAcentral. Lineage: Bacteria; Pseudomonadati; Bdellovibrionota; Oligoflexia; Oligoflexales; Oligoflexaceae.
UACGGAAGGUGCAAGCGUUGUUCGGAAUGACUGGGCGUAAAGCGCGCGUAGGCGGGUUUGUAAGUCGGAUGUGAAACCCCUGGGCUCAACCUAGGACGUGCAUCCGAAACUGCAGAUCUUGAAUGUUUGAGGGGUCGGCGGAAUUCCAGGUGUAGGAGUGAAAUCCGUAGAUAUCUGGAGGAAUACCAGUGGCGAAGGCGGCCGACUGGCAAAACAUUGACGCUGAGGCGCGAAAGCGUGGGGAGCAAACAGG